GAUGAACGCUGGCGGCGUGCUUAACACAUGCAAGUCGAACGGAGUUUACAUGAAACCUAGUGAUUGUAAACUUAGUGGCGGACGGGUGAGUAACGCGUGGGUAACCUGCCUUAUACAGGGGGAUAACAGUGAGAAAUUACUGCUAAUACCGCAUAAGCGCACGGUGUCGCAUGACACAGUGUGAAAAGAUUUAUCGGUAUAAGAUGGACCCGCGUCUGAUUAGCUAGUUGGUGAGGUAACGGCCCACCAAGGCGACGAUCAGUAGCCGGCCUGAGAGGGUGAACGGCCACAUUGGGACUGAGACACGGCCCAAACUCC
RNAcentral lists this ribosomal RNA (318 nucleotides) under uncultured Lachnospiraceae bacterium. Its description in RNAcentral is "bacterial SSU rRNA". It matches the Rfam family "Bacterial small subunit ribosomal RNA", at positions 28 to 339 of the family's 1533-position model. Lineage: Bacteria; Bacillati; Bacillota; Clostridia; Lachnospirales; Lachnospiraceae. The record is from RNAcentral.